This 684-nucleotide ribosomal RNA is filed under the name Buchananella hordeovulneris. Its description in RNAcentral is "bacterial SSU rRNA". It matches the Rfam family "Bacterial small subunit ribosomal RNA", at positions 57 to 728 of the family's 1533-position model. Lineage: Bacteria; Bacillati; Actinomycetota; Actinomycetes; Actinomycetales; Actinomycetaceae. The record is from RNAcentral.
CCAAGUCGAGCCUUGCUUGCUUUGGGUGAGAGUGGCGUAACGGGCUCGAGUAACACGUGAGUCAACCUGCCCCCUUCUUUCGGGAUAACGACCAGACAAUGGUUGCAUAAUACUGCAAUAUUCACGCAUUGUCGCAUGGUGGUGUGUGGAUAAGGUUUUUCUGGUGGCGGGAUGGUGCUCGCGGCCUAUCAGCUCUGUUGGUGGGGUGAUGGCCUACUCAAGGCUAUUGACGGGUAGCCGGCCUGAGAGGGUGACCGGUCACACUGGGACUGAGAUACGGCCCAGACUCCUACGGGAGGCAGCAGUGGGGAAUAUUGCACAAUGGGCGAAAGCCUGAUGCAGCGACGCCGCGUGAGGGAUGACGGCCUUCGGGUUGUAAACCUCUUUCAGUAAGGACGCAGGCCUAGGCUUUUGUUUGGGUUGACUUUACUUACAGAAGAAGCGCCGGCUAACUACGUGCCAGCAGCCGCGGUAAUACGUAGGGCGCAAGCGUUGUCCGGAAUUAUUGGGCGUAAAGAGCUCGUAGGCGGUUUGUCGACGUCUGUCAGUGAAAACCCACAGGCUUAACUGUGGGCUUGCGGUGGGUACAGGGCAGGCUUGAGUGCGGUAGGGGAGACUGGAAUUCCUGGUGUAGCGGUGGAAUGCGCAGAUAUCAGGAGGAACACCGGUGGCGAAGGCGGGUCU